CUCUGUAAUUGCUCACUCUUUGUCUCUCAGCGCAGCACUGAUGGGUUCUGGAAAUCAGUGGCCAGGCACGUUCCAAGGGAGCCCAGCGACAUGCGCAUCCUGAACCCCUACUUCAUUCAGGAGGCCUCCUUCAAGCUAAUUGGCUUACCUCGCAACAAUGGACAGAUGGGUAGAGGGAAUAUCCCAACCCUGGGGACAGUUGCCAUAACGAUGGCCCUUCAUAACUGUGAUGAAGUGGCUGUGGCUGGAUUUGGCUACAACAUGAGCACCCCUCAUGCCCCUCUGCACUAUUAUGAGAAGAUCCGGAUGUCAGCUAUUAAAGAGGUCAGAGCUGCUUGGCCCCGCCCACUGGCAUGUAUAAUUGAGACAGUGAGGAAAUUCACUAAUUUCUACAGUCCUGUAUUAGCACACAUAGACUGAUCCUUUUUAAUGUCCUGGACUCACAACAUAUCUAAAGAGAAGGAGUUCUUGAUGAAGCUGGUGAAGUCUGGUGUUAUCCAGGACUGGACCAAUGGGAUCUGUGGUGCAGGAUGCUGAUGGUCUGCUCUCAGUUUCAUGGCUCCUGGAUGCAGCACUGUGCUCGCCUCCAUCUGCUUUAGCCCCUGAAGAGGGAAGCAUACAGCUCUGUAGGCCAUGUUUCUAGAAUAGAGCAGCUGUCACACACUGUGGUCUGUGCAGACUGAGUAUAUGAGGCUUACUGACCUGGACACAUUGUCCCAGUGUUGCAUAUUGACUUGUUAUAAUCAGUUUGCCUCUGUAUUGGAACGAAGUAUUUAGCUUGUCCUAGUUUGUGUAUAUUUACAUGGAUUUGGAACCCUGGCUCAGGGGUACGUCAGGGGAUUAAACCAGAACCUAGAUCAGGCCGCCCUACUGCUAGAACUGCAGCAGGCUGGAGAGAGGAGGAGAGGAUGAAGAUGUUGGGUUUAAACAUUGAGCCUGUGCCAAGAAUACCUCUACAAGUGUCCUUCUGUGCACACAUCUGAAUGUAAUCUCCAUCAAACAUAGUCAAUUGUUUAUAUCUUCCAGUUUCUGUGUUAAACAGGGUGCACACUCCAUAAUACAUAACUCAGCCGUCCUGGAGCAGCCUCUGAUAUCAGACGGUAAACCCUCCUUUCAUCAUGACAAAAUGGCAAUCAUCGGAGCUGGUUUAGUUGAGUGGGUCAGAGUCAAUAUGAAGCUAGAAAGCUGGGGAACACAAGGUAACAAGAGCUCCUCAGCAGCAACAUGAAAUUCACAAUCCAGAUCACCACACUGAUUCCUCAGAUGCAGCAGAGUCACAUUACGUUUGUUGUCAUGAAGCAGCAGGAAACUGACCUCUCAAGAAAUGUCCACUGGAUGUGGAGCUACAUUUGGCUUCCAAUGCAGCUGGAGCAACGCACGUCUGAAGCAGUUCAUGUUCUUUAAUGAUGCAUUUCAUUUCUUAUUUUCUCAGCCUCUGUGUACAAACGGCUACAAACGGUUUUUCUUGUUUGUUUAUGUUUAGUUACUAGUUAUUUUAACAAAAAAUUCAGAUUUUGGGACACAAAACAUAAAAAUGUGAGGACAGCUGAAAUGAUUAGUUGGUUAAGCAAUUGACAGAAUAUAAAUUUUCGUAAUUGUCAUUUUUCAUGCAAAAACAUUUCCUGGUUCCCACUUCACAAAUGUUAGAAUUUUCUGCUUUUCCUUAUUUUAAUUUAGUUUUCAUCAUGCUGAGGUUUGGACUGUUGGUUGGACACAACAAGCACUGUGAAGCUGUCACUUUGGACUCUGGGUAACUCACACCGCAUUUCUCACUGUUUUCAGAGUCUUUACAAUGCAAGCAAUGAAUCGAAUAAUGGGGAAAAUUAUCAGACAGAUUGAUUCAGAAUGAAAGUAAUCAUUAGCUGCAGUCCGAUACUAAAUAGUUCAGAAUGAGCUUCAGCUCAACACCUAAAGCAGCAACAUCCUGCUUUACAUUAAUGCAUGAGAAAUAAUAAUCUGAUAGAAAUAUAACAGGGACAUUAUACUGCUUUUAAGACUGUAGUAAUGUUUCUAGAUUUUCCUCUUUUAAUUAAUUAAACAUGUCAAUGCAAAACUUGUAACAGAGUAUUUUUACAUUGUGGUAUUAGUACUUAAAAUUCAAAGAUCUCAAUACAUCAUCAACCACACAGAGUCUUAAAAGUCCAUUUUUUAAUGUGUGACCUGUGUCUCAGGUCACUGUUGUGUAGGUCAGACUAGACAGGGACAUAUUGUGUUCCCCAGCUUUCUAGAAACAGUAUAGGCUCUUACACAGGAGUGUGCUCUGUAUUGGAAAGGUCCACUUCGAAAGGCAUAUCUUUGAUUUUACUUUAAACAAUCCGUUUUCAUUAUUUGUUAUCAGCCUGUGUUGUCACUCCACUGAACAGUAGCUUUAUGUGCCCAUCCUACUCAAAAGAAUACGAGCAUCUCCUUGUUUCACUCUUAUUACACUGAGAAUGUUGACAAAUGGAGAGCAUGUUUACAACACCCCAAACAUUUGUAAAUCCGAGCUGUUUUUCUUUCUGUUAGACAAAUCAAAUCCAUUGCUUAAUGACUGAUAGCUGAACCAUAUCAGUGAAGUAAAACAAUCAAUUUUAGUUUAUUUCAAUCAGUUUCAUACAUUGUAUGUUCACACUGUUAACUAAAUAAGAUUGAUUACUGAAGUGACUGCAGGAAAGCCAUUUCAUGAGAGAUCUGAUCUAUGUUUUAGGUGGUUCCUCAGCUUUAAAUGAACUGUGCAGCCACUACCCUGUCUGUAGCCAUAGUACCAUGUAAGCCAAUCGUGAGUACAGUCAUAUGCUCAGCACUCAGCCAAUAACAUGAGAGUUAAUGAUGGUUUUAAGUUUCUGCUGAAGUUGACUGUUGACUGUUUUCAUGGUGACUUCAGCCAAGAUUAAUAAAACAACCCCCCUGGCUGGGCAGAGGACAUUUCAUGCUAUGUAGUGUGUGACAGGCAUUUGCCUCACAACAUCUUGACAAAGACUUGUGUGGCAGAUUUUUUUUCUGUCUCACAUUUUUUUGUCUUCUAUCAAACUUUAAUCAGCCAUUUUAUGAGUGGGUGCCUCUUGCUGCCUAAAAUGUAAUUUAUGUGUAUCAAAUGAAUGAUUUUGUGAUUUUGCUGAUGCUGGUUAAUCCCCGAGUCCCCCUUCUCUUAAGAUGUUCUGUUAAACACAGGCUUUAUGAAUCUAUCUCACUUUAUUUACCAAGAUCAAGUGUAUUGUGAAAUCUGUGUGUGUGUGUUUGUGUUGCUUUAUAUACUCCGCCCUUCAUGGUGUGUGCUCCUCUCACUGUAGGUGUUUGUGGACUUGAUGCCGGUCAAAUGUUCAAGCCAAAGUAUUCAUAUAUUUAUUGUUGGCUGUGCACAAGAACACGUCAAAAAAUAAAGAUAUAGAAAUGCUGUA
Micropterus salmoides (largemouth bass) is the source of this 3377-nucleotide RNA transcript. It is a transcript of the gene named CMP-N-acetylneuraminate-beta-1,4-galactoside alpha-2,3-sialyltransferase-like, with no coding region annotated. Lineage: Eukaryota; Metazoa; Chordata; Actinopteri; Centrarchiformes; Centrarchidae. The record is from RefSeq and is a predicted model, not a curated record. The transcript has 4 exons.